AAAAGCAGGGGAUCGCAAGACCUUGCGCUCUUGGAGCGGCCGAUGUCUGAUUAGCUAGUUGGUGAGGUAAAGGCUUACCAAGGCGACGAUCAGUAGCUGGUCUGAGAGGACGACCAGCCACACUAGGACUGAGACACGGCCCAGACUCCUACGGGAGGCAGCAGUGGGGAAUUUUGGACAAUGGGGGAAACCCUGAUCCAGCCAUGCCGCGUGAGUGAAGAAGGCCUUCGGGUUGUAAAGCUCUUUCAGCCGGAACGAAACGGUCACGGUUAAUACCCGUGACUACUGACGGUACCGGAAGAAGAAG
RNAcentral lists this ribosomal RNA (307 nucleotides) under uncultured beta proteobacterium E21_pH7/50/FL. Its description in RNAcentral is "bacterial SSU rRNA". It matches the Rfam family "Bacterial small subunit ribosomal RNA", at positions 202 to 490 of the family's 1533-position model. Lineage: Bacteria; Pseudomonadati; Pseudomonadota; Betaproteobacteria. The record is from RNAcentral.